This 1203-nucleotide long non-coding RNA is filed under the name Homo sapiens (human). RNAcentral's name for it is "HSALNT0079195". Lineage: Eukaryota; Metazoa; Chordata; Mammalia; Primates; Hominidae. The record is from RNAcentral.
CAUCACCCUCCUGCCAGGGGUUGAAGUCAGGAAGUAGUUUAUUUUCGCUGAAACUGAAGGGGGAAGUUAAAGAGAAAAAUAGCUGCAACUUGGUCAAUUCAGGAAAACCAGGUACGAAAAAAGAGGAGCAAGUUAAAGGGAAAGCCAGCUCGGAUUUGCUCACCAGUAAAAGGCAAAAAUCCCAGUGUUAUUCAUCUGCAUUUGGUGUGAAAGACAAAAGCUCAACUGGGAUCUGAGGCUUUCUGUGUCAGAGGGCAAGGAGUCAAUGGGGUUAUGAGGAAGUAAGACCACUUGAGACAUCAAAGAAAAGUAGAUCAAAUCACUAGACUCCUCCAAACAGGAGUGGGUGAAGACAAAAAGUGGAGAGAAUCCAGAGGGAAGAGAGGAGUAGGGAAAAUGGUGGAAAGGGAAGGUUUUUGAGAUGGAAGGCAGAGAAUGGGAACAAAAGAAGAAAAAGCUGUUUGUUUCAAAUCAAUAUUCUCCAAGAGGAUGUCUUGUUUCCCCAGGGAUAUUCUGAGGGACUCACAGGAUCAGAGCUGCGACACUUCUAACAUAUGAAUUCUCUCAAUUCUGAUGCCCUUUGACCUCUGCCACACAAUGCCAAGACAAACCCAGACCCCAGGCCCUGGAAACAGAGGAGGGGCAGGACGUGAUAGAGCUUCAGCAACAUGGAGAGGAGAUAGCCGGUCUGGCUAGGAUGGAAGAAAUGUACAUGGAGAAGAAAGACAGAAGAACCAUCACUGAGCACUAAACUAAUCAGCCAUAAUGUGCAGAUUGACUGGCAAGCCUAUCACCACCUUGAUAACAGAUGACAUUAAAGAGAAAGGUACACAAAUAUCCAAGAUUGGAAAGAAGAAAGAAAAUGACGACAGAAUUUUGCAGUCUACAAGGCAAACACUGCCAUUCAUGUAGUUAUGGAGUUCCUACUAUGUGCAGACAAUGGGAAACUUUACGAAGGUGAGCAGACAGGGAUCUCACACUCCUACUAUGUGUAGAGCAAUGGGAAAUGUGUGGCAAUAAGGUAAAGGUCUUUUAUUUCAAAAUAUUUUAGCAUAGAAGGAGAAAUGUCUACUUGAACAAUGAACAAAAUACCUUAUCGAAACAAGUCUGUAGAAAUCUGUUUAAUUAGAAAAGCAUAAAAGUUAUUACUCUUAGCUGAGUGGUAACUGAUUUGAUUCAAGUUGUCUAAAAUUUUCAUUGCAG